This 1923-nucleotide long non-coding RNA is filed under the name Jatropha curcas. Its description in RNAcentral is "long non-coding RNA (JCUR_LNC003347)". Lineage: Eukaryota; Viridiplantae; Streptophyta; Magnoliopsida; Malpighiales; Euphorbiaceae. The record is from RNAcentral.
GUGGGUUCACCAGUAACUAACUCUCCACCAGGUAGUUUUAAGAUACUUCAAGUAUACUUUGGAAUUUCAGUCUAUUACAAGCUAAAUUGAAUGCAAUAUUCAUGCAGGUAGCUGGGCGCAAUUUAACAGUCCCAUUGAGCAUGGUCCAUUGCAAAGUAUGAGCAAAUCCCCUGUUUUCAGCACUUUGAGUCCAACAACCAGCAACCAUUUACCUGGGUUGGCUUCAAUUCUUCACACUCAAGGGUCAAACUCUGUGAAAGUUGCGCCUAUUGGCAAAGACCAAGGAAGGGGUAGUCUUGUGGAGCAUGCAUUUACAAACAUGAACUCAUCCCAUGGGGCUACAUUCCAACAGUCACAUUCAUUGCCCGAGUCAAAGUUGAACCAAUACCAUGGAAGUAUGUCAUCUUUUGGCGGUCCUUCAACAUCUAGUGGAUCUGUUGUGGAAACAUUAUCAGGUCCACAGUUUCUAUGGGGAAGUCCAAAUCCAUACCCAGAGCACAGUACUUCUUCUUCCUGGACAACGCCAUCCAUGGGCCAUCAUCCAUUUUCAUCAAAUGGGAAGGGCCAUGGCUUUUCGUACAUGGGUCGGCAUGGUUCUUUACUUGGCUCAUCCCAGAACCAUCAUCAUGUUGGUUCUGCUCCAUCUGGAGUUCCUUUGGAGAGGCACUUUGGAUUUUUCCCAGAGUCUCCGGAAACUUCGUUCAUGAGUUCUGUUGCAUUUGGAGGCAUGGGUUUGGGACACAAUGAUGGAAAUUUCAUGAUGAGUAUGCGCGGUCGUGCACCCAUAAAUACUGGCAUUCCCAUUCCCAGAAAUGUGUCUGAAAAUGGAUCUUCAAGUUACAGAAUGAUGUGCAAAUUAUAUUCAUUGUACAAUUAGCAGAUAAGGGAAACGCCACACAAGAGGCACCAUAAGUUUAUUGAGUUUUACGAUGUGAGAGCUGCAGAAGCAGCACUCAAGUCAUUGAAUAGGAGUGACAUAGCCGGUAAACGCAUAAAGCUUGAACCUAGCCGCCCUGGUGGGGCACGUCGGAAGUAAGCAUUUAUUGUGCUUUGCUUAUUACAGAUAAUAUAGCUCAAAUAGCACUCCCCUUAGUUUUGUCUGUCUUUCCCAAUGUUGCAAAUGCAUCUUUAUGUGAGUUAAUUUGUGAUUUCCAUAAUACGUUUUUUUUGUUUUAUUUAAUUUAGUUCUGGAAGAUCAAUUAUUUUUAUUGUUAAGCUAUUGUUCUUUUGCAAGCUCUGUGUGUGUGUGUCUCAAGCAGGUAGGUAUUUGAAUGCCUGUUUCAUUUCUUAAAAUUAUUCUUCUUUCCCUUGAAAUUUCUUGCAUUAUUCUUGUUGAAAUGUCUUUGCAAAUGAAUGUUUUUGGCUUACGUAUUCUACCUGUCAGCUUGAUGUUGCAACUCAAUCAAGAGCUUGAACAAGAUGAAUCUCGGAGUUUCCGGCCUGCAGUGGGUUCACCAGUAACUAACUCUCCACCAGGUAGUUUUAAGAUACUUCAAGUAUACUUUGGAAUUUCAGUCUAUUACAAGCUAAAUUGAAUGCAAUAUUCAUGCAGGUAGCUGGGCGCAAUUUAACAGUCCCAUUGAGCAUGGUCCAUUGCAAAGUAUGAGCAAAUCCCCUGUUUUCAGCACUUUGAGUCCAACAACCAGCAACCAUUUACCUGGGUUGGCUUCAAUUCUUCACACUCAAGGGUCAAACUCUGUGAAAGUUGCGCCUAUUGGCAAAGACCAAGGAAGGGGUAGUCUUGUGGAGCAUGCAUUUACAAACAUGAACUCAUCCCAUGGGGCUACAUUCCAACAGUCACAUUCAUUGCCCGAGUCAAAGUUGAACCAAUACCAUGGAAGUAUGUCAUCUUUUGGCGGUCCUUCAACAUCUAGUGGAUCUGUUGUGGAAACAUUAUCAGGUCCACAGUUUCUAUGGGGAAGU